Non-coding RNA from Ciona intestinalis (vase tunicate), 2820 nucleotides. Lineage: Eukaryota; Metazoa; Chordata; Ascidiacea; Phlebobranchia; Cionidae. The record is from RefSeq and is a predicted model, not a curated record.
AGGGGGUAGAUAACUUUGCUGUAUUGCUGACGUCAUAGCGCUAUUACGUCAUGAGUAACAACCGUGACGUCACAGUGCGACCGGAAAUUACGUUGCAACUACCUACGUCAUCAGCUUUCGCAAAAACACCAGCGAAGAUAGACACAGGAUGUGGUGUAUGGAUCGUCCGACCUCGUUGGUUGGCGAGGUUUGCGACACCGAAGUGGUUCCUUGCAGCGAUAUCGUUUUUCAUCCUGAUCCAGAGUAUGUUGGUGUCGGGAAUCACAAGUUCCGUGAUCACAACUAUUGAAAAAAGGUACGGGCUGAAAAGUGCUGAGUCAGGUCUCAUAGUGUCCAGUUUCGACAUCGGAAGUUUAAUUGUCGUCGUUUUUAUUUCGUAUUUCGGCGGCAAAAGCCACCGUGCGAGAAUCGUGGGAAUCGGGGCCAUUGUUGUGUCAAUAGGUGCCGCCAUGUUCGCCUUCCCUCAAUUUAUUUCCUCCCCGUACCAACCCCCUAACCACUUGCCACAAACAUCUUAUAAACUGAUGUGUCGACCGAACGCAACGAACACGUCCGAUGUUUUGUGCCAAGCGCAGGAAGCAAACGCAGUUUACCUUUCAUUAUUCGUGGUUUCAAACAUGAUCAUGGGAAUUGGGAGCACACCGAUAUACACGCUCGGUACGACUUUUAUUUACGAUAAUGUUGCAAGGGACGACGCUUCGUUUUAUAUCGCGAUUGUAUACGCCAUGGGAGCUGUAGGACCAGCGGUCGGGUACCUCCUCGGUGGGUUCUUUCUCACUUUUUACAUCGACCUUGGAAACCUCAUUUCAUCUGAUGACCCUCGGUUCCUGGGAGCUUGGUGGUUGGGUUAUCUCAUCAGUGCUGGUUUGAUCCUCGUGUCGUCUUUCUUCCUCAUCUUGUUUCCAAGAAAGUUAAAGUUUAAUCCUCCCCUCGAAACGCCGAUGGAUAGCAGUUUAGGGGAAGUCCCGUCCACCCCCGUUACCGAGACGACCGUCGAGGAAAACUUUGAAAGUUUGGAUUCUUCUGUUAUUGGGUUUGGGGAUAAUUUAAAAGAUUUACCGAAAGCGUUUCUGUCCCUCCUCACCAACCCCAUAUACCUUUGCGUCACAAUCUCUGCAACUCUGGAAUUUUCCACCGUCACCGCUUUUCUUACGUUUGUGCCAAAAUAUUUACAAAGUCACUUCAACAGUGAUACUGUCAAGUCAAGCAUUAUGACUGGAGCGAUCCUCGUUCCCAGUGCAGGGACCGGCAUCUUACUCGGGGGUUACGUCAUAAAGAGGUUUCGUCUAAAUAUGACGGGAUGCGCGCAAACCGCGUUGCUAAGCAACCUGUUGUCCCUUCUUCUCUUCAUCUCAGUUUUUUUCAUCAGCUGCGAAACCCCGUUCAUAAUCGGGGUUAACAAGUUCGUUGAGGACCCCAUGUCUAAUGUUUUAAUGAAAGGUUUGCCAUCUGCUUGUAACUCCGAUUGUUCGUGCGAAACAUCGACGUUUAGCCCGAUAUGUAUAAGUGGACUUACAUAUUAUAAUCCAUGUUAUGCUGGAUGUGGUGUUAAAGUGGAUGGCAACGCAACGCAGAUGUUCAGUAAUUGUUCGUGCCACACCCCGGUUGCCGGUAGCAACGAUGACAUCGGGGUGGCUGGGUCAUGUGACCGUGAUUGUUCCGCUUCGUUGAUUCCGUUCUUGUUCUGUUUGUUCCUCGUAACCAUGGCCACGGUAUGCGCGCACACACCUUCACUCAUGGUAACUUAUCGUUGCGUCAGAAACGAUGAACGCCCGUUUGCUGCCGGGUUGCAAUUCGUGUUUCUACGAACUUUGGCCCCCCUACAGCUUACAUCCCGGCCCCAAUAUACUUUGGUUCAGCCAUCGACCAAGCUUGUCUUUUAUGGAAAGGAUCCACGGAUGAAUGUGUGGGCUCCGAUGGAUCAUGUUUGUUAUACGACGCCGACAAGUUCCGCUCCAUUUUCUUCGGGGUGGCGUUCGCUCUAAAGAUUGUUGCAUUUUGUUUCGUGUUUAUGUCAUGGGUGUUGUGUCGUCGUAAACAUUCCGAGCACACGCACACCACCCGGUGGAGACGACACAGAAGAAGAAAGAUGCGGGAGAAGAGGGAGGGGAAGAUGGAACAAGAGGGGAAGAUGGGACGGGCCAAUAAUCCAAAUACAAUAUCAGGGAUUACAGAUUCCAGCAUCCCUGAGAUAUAUGUUUCGAACCCCCAACCCUUGCCAGUGUUGCCAGAUACAAAUAAUCAAGUGGUUUCCAGUGGAAGUGAAACAUCGGUGUGCAGCACUGGAAGCAAAUCAAGCAACAAACCUUUGAUAAAAAACGAACUCGAACUGAAAACUAUUUCCACCAAUCAGAAACCAGCCAUGAAUUCUAGAAGCGAAGAUCCCUUGUAACAAUCGAGAACAAUUAGUUUUAAACAAUCAUUUAUUGUUAACAUAGGCAACAGACCUGGGGUGGCAGGGUAGGCGGGCCGACCCCUAUAUUUUGUACUGCAAUAAUCAGUAAACAUUACAACCAAUAAGUUUGUGCGCCCGACUACCCCUGCCUCCCCUGUGUUAUAAAAACUUUGGUACCCAUGAAUCGGUUAUUUAUUAUUUUUAUCAUUCCUAAAACAAUGAAAUACGUUGCGUGCCUUGCCACCAUAAAGGCCAUAGUUGUAAAUAUAUCUUUUGUUUUUAUCAAGUGCAAAUUGUGAUUUUUACUAACUUUGAUGUAUCUUGUUUGCCAGUAUUACGCACUAAUGUCCAAUACCUCUGGGUGAGUUCUAUGCACUACAGAACGAACUUGAAGUUCCUACUUUAAUACAGAAUAGUGCAACAAA